UGAUAGCCCCGAUGGGAGGGAAUAUCCUUUUUUCACAUCUGUCAGGUUUUAAAACCUGACAGAUGUGAAAAAAGAUAGGAAGGACAGCGGGACGAUGU
Molecule: small RNA, 98 nt
Filed under: Flavobacterium succinicans
Lineage: Bacteria; Pseudomonadati; Bacteroidota; Flavobacteriia; Flavobacteriales; Flavobacteriaceae
Description: Flavo-1 RNA
Rfam family: Flavo-1 RNA
Source: RNAcentral